RNAcentral lists this ribosomal RNA (493 nucleotides) under uncultured Entrophospora. RNAcentral's name for it is "SSU rRNA". It matches the Rfam family "Eukaryotic small subunit ribosomal RNA", at positions 569 to 1058 of the family's 1831-position model. Lineage: Eukaryota; Fungi; Glomeromycota; Glomeromycetes; Entrophosporales; Entrophosporaceae. The record is from RNAcentral.
AGCAGCCGCGGUAAUUCCAGCUCCAAUAGCGUAUAUUAAAGUUGUUGCAGUUAAAAAGCUCGUAGUUGAAUUUCGGGAUUGACGUGAUGGUCAUGCCUUAAGGGGUAUGAACUGUCACAGUUGAUUUCUCACCUUCUGGAGAAACUUGAUGUCCUUUAUUGGGUGUCUUGCGGAUCCAGGACCUUUACCUUAAAAAAUUAGAGUGUUUAAAGCAGGCAUUUUUGCUCGAAUACAUUAGCAUGGAAUAAUAGAAUAGGACGGCAUGGUUCUAUUUUGUUGGUUUCUAGGAUCACCGUAAUGAUUAAUAGGGAUAGUUGGGGGCAUUAGUAUUCAAUUGUCAGAGGUGAAAUUCUUGGAUUUAUUGAAGACUAACUACUGCGAAAGCAUUUGCCAAGGAUGUUUUUCAUUAAUCAAGAACGAAAGUUAGGGGAUCGAAGACGAUCAGAUACCGUCGUAGUCUUAACCAAUAAACUAUGCCGACUAGGAAUCAGAC